AUGGGGAGGAUGGACGCGCGGGGUCCGAGAAGGGUUUUCGAUGGACCGGGUGUGUCGGAGGCCUAUGUGGUUGUUGUCCGGAGUCCCGCAAAGCCCCUCGUUUGUCUAGGUCCCGGUCGUCACGUCGCCGUGCAGCGCCGACCACGGCCAGACCACGCGCGUGACGCUGUCUGCCCGCUGUUCCCAGUCUCCUUCUCUGUCGCUGCCUCCUGCGGCGCUGUCGGCGUCGCAGGGCUCGCACGCUCCGCCCGCUCGUUCCUGGCGCAGGUCGCGAGCGCGCAGAGGGUCGCCAGCUCGUUCGCGUUGUGCCUCCCAGGCGAUGGCGACCGCGCGGGCGCGGCAAUCUUCAGUGGCGGCCCUUUCUUCCUCGCUCCCCGGGCUGACCGGCCGGCAGUCACGACGCUCCUGUCCGAGGGGGUCCCGCUGCGCCGCCCGUUCGCCGGAGACCCCGGCUACUACGUCUCGGCCAGCAAUGGCAUCGCCAUGGACGGAGCGUGUGUGGCAUUCGCGAGCGCCGGUGCGCCCAUCGUCGGCUUCUCCACGGUCCACUACACGGAGCUUCGCCACGACGUGUACCGCCCCUUGAUCGCGGCCUUCGACCGCGCCAUGGGCAGGAGCGCGAGGAGGGUCACGCCGGCGGUGGCACCGUUCGAGCUCUGCUACGACUCCACGAAGCUGCUAUCGGCUAUCGUCGCAGACGGGGCACUCAGUGCCAGAGCUCCAUGGCGCACGCUAGCUUCGACCGAGGCCGAGGACGUCGUCUGGGCCGACGCCGAGGACGACCUUGGCCCUCCCCCGCCAGCGCCCUGGUCGGAGACCUGCUCGAGGAGUAGGCCGGGGACGGCAGCAGCAUCCAGAGCCACGCGCUCGGCUCGCUCGAGAAGGGCGCGUCGGUCAGGAUCUCGGGCAAACUGCAGCAUGGUGACCAUGGUGACAGGUGCAAAACCCACCGACGGCGGAACCUUGUGGCAGCAGUGGUUGGCGUCACCGGCUCGCCGCAAUGUGGCUGUUGCAAUGAGGGGAUGCAACAGUGGGGACGACUUUGCCCCUCCCGGCUAG
RNAcentral lists this ribosomal RNA (1059 nucleotides) under Triticum aestivum (bread wheat). Its description in RNAcentral is "partial small subunit ribosomal RNA". The record is from RNAcentral. Lineage: Eukaryota; Viridiplantae; Streptophyta; Magnoliopsida; Poales; Poaceae.